MicroRNA precursor from Equus caballus (horse), 101 nucleotides. The record is from Ensembl. Lineage: Eukaryota; Metazoa; Chordata; Mammalia; Perissodactyla; Equidae.
CAGCGGCGGCGUGGAGCUGGGCUGCACUCUGCACUUUUCUGACUCCCCAGGGAGCUGUUAGCAAGGCUGCAGACAUUCCAGCCAUGCAGGGCUGGCCUUCC